RNAcentral lists this unclassified non-coding RNA (203 nucleotides) under fungal sp. Its description in RNAcentral is "partial internal transcribed spacer region". The stretch from base 1 to 46 matches the Rfam family "Eukaryotic small subunit ribosomal RNA", at positions 1786 to 1831 of the family's 1831-position model. Lineage: Eukaryota; Fungi. The record is from RNAcentral.
AAGUCGUAACAAGGUAACCGUAGGUGAACCUGCGGUUGGAUCAUUAACAAAUUACAGAAGCGCUUGCGCCUCUCUACAUUUUGUGAACUGUAUUUGUCUCUGGUGGGCUCUCGGGCCCACCACACUGAACCUCGUAGUAUCAUUUGACUAACGUUUGUUUAAAUAAUAAAAAACAACUUUUGGCAACGGAUCUCUAGGCUCUC